This is a non-coding RNA of Nicotiana tabacum (common tobacco), 553 nucleotides long. The record is from RefSeq and is a predicted model, not a curated record. NCBI's taxonomy places the organism in Eukaryota, Viridiplantae, Streptophyta, Magnoliopsida, Solanales, Solanaceae.
ACCUGACAUAUUCUUGAUUGAUCUGCAGAUCCAUGCCAUGUCAAUUGAUUUCUGUCUACUGUCAGCAUUUGCACCCUUCUGGAUUUACAAUGACAUGACUGCUCGAAAGUGGUAUGACAAAGGAUUUUGGCUUCUCCCCCUAUCGGUGAUUCCUUUACUGGGUCCAGCACUAUACCUUCUCCAACGUCCAUCUAUUCCAACGGUACCAGUUUCAUCAAGCCCAGCUUCGGCUGAAGAAAAAUGAUCUAAAUCACUUACAGCAGGAUUUGAAUAGCGUGGGACAUUGAGCAAAAACAAACCGACAGGUGAAACAUAUCUAAACUAGCAGCGCAAAAACUUCCCUCUGCUAUUUGUAAUGUAAAUAGUUCAGCAACAGCAGUUGAACUGAAGACCAUUUCUGCUGGAAAUUCCAAGACUUGUUGCUCUGUCUUUUUCUUUUUCUUCUUAGUUCUUUUUUACCACCCUUGCUUUAUAUAAACCUUGUCACAUGUAUUCUUGAGAUGGUAAUUUUCAAUUUCAUGUUUAUUUUAGUUUCUUUUAUAGUUAAACAGUA